RNAcentral lists this ribosomal RNA (1096 nucleotides) under uncultured Flavobacteriaceae bacterium. RNAcentral's name for it is "bacterial SSU rRNA". It matches the Rfam family "Bacterial small subunit ribosomal RNA", at positions 427 to 1533 of the family's 1533-position model. Lineage: Bacteria; Pseudomonadati; Bacteroidota; Flavobacteriia; Flavobacteriales; Flavobacteriaceae. The record is from RNAcentral.
AAACUGCUUUUAUAUAGGAAGAAACCUACUUACGUGUAAGUAGCUGACGGUACUAUAAGAAUAAGGAUCGGCUAACUCCGUGCCAGCAGCCGCGGUAAUACGGAGGAUCCAAGCGUUAUCCGGAAUCAUUGGGUUUAAAGGGUCCGUAGGUGGAUAAUUAAGUCAGAGGUGAAAUCUUGCAGCUCAACUGUAAAAUUGCCUUUGAUACUGAUUAUCUUGAGUUAUUAUGAAGUAGUUAGAAUAUGUAGUGUAGCGGUGAAAUGCAUAGAUAUUACAUAGAAUACCAAUUGCGAAGGCAGAUUACUAAUAAUCAACUGACACUGAUGGACGAAAGCGUGGGUAGCGAACAGGAUUAGAUACCCUGGUAGUCCACGCCGUAAACGAUGGUUACUAGCUGUUUGGACCUUGUGUCUGAGUGGCUAAGCGAAAGUGAUAAGUAACCCACCUGGGGAGUACGUUCGCAAGAAUGAAACUCAAAGGAAUUGACGGGGGCCCGCACAAGCGGUGGAGCAUGUGGUUUAAUUCGAUGAUACGCGAGGAACCUUACCAGGGCUUAAAUGUAAGUUGCAUUAGUUAGAGAUAGCUAUUUCUCCGGACCACUUACAAGGUGCUGCAUGGUUGUCGUCAGCUCGUGCCGUGAGGUGUCAGGUUAAGUCCUAUAACGAGCGCAACCCCUGUUGUUAGUUGCCAGCGAGUCAUGUCGGGAACUCUAACAAGACUGCCGGUGCAAACCGUGAGGAAGGUGGGGAUGACGUCAAAUCAUCACGGCCCUUACGUCCUGGGCUACACACGUGCUACAAUGGUCGGUACAGAGAGCAGCCACUACGCGAGUAGGAGCGAAUCUUCAAAGCCGAUCACAGUUCGGAUCGGAGUCUGCAACUCGACUCCGUGAAGCUGGAAUCGCUAGUAAUCGGAUAUCAGCCAUGAUCCGGUGAAUACGUUCCCGGGCCUUGUACACACCGCCCGUCAAGCCAUGGAAGUUGGGAGUGCCUGAAGUCCGUUACCGCAAGGAGCGGCCUAGGGUAAAAUCGAUAACUAGGGCUAAGUCGUAACAAGGUAGCCGUACCGGAAGGUGCGGCUGGAACACCUCCUUUCU